This 26-nucleotide non-coding RNA is filed under the name Homo sapiens (human). The record is from RNAcentral. Lineage: Eukaryota; Metazoa; Chordata; Mammalia; Primates; Hominidae.
CUGAGAAUGUUGGUAUACUAUUUUGC